RNAcentral lists this ribosomal RNA (487 nucleotides) under uncultured bacterium. RNAcentral describes it as "partial 16S ribosomal RNA". It matches the Rfam family "Bacterial small subunit ribosomal RNA", at positions 28 to 507 of the family's 1533-position model. The record is from RNAcentral.
GAUGAACGCUAGCGAUAGGCUUAACACAUGCAAGUCGAGGGGCAGCACAAGGUAGCUUGCUAUCUGGGUGGCGACCGGCGCACGGGUGCGUAACGCGUAUGCAACUUGCCCUAUACAGGAGGAUAACCCGUCGAAAGACGGACUAAUACUGCGUAUGCUCACAACUUGGCAUCAAGUGGUGAGGAAAGAAAUUCGGUAUAGGAUAGGCAUGCGUCCCAUUAGCUUGUUGGUGAGGUAACGGCUCACCAAGGCAACGAUGGGUAGGGGAACUGAGAGGUUUAUCCCCCACACUGGUACUGAGACACGGACCAGACUCCUACGGGAGGCAGCAGUGAGGAAGAUUGGUCAAUGGGCGCGAGCCUGAACCAGCCAAGUCGCGUGAAGGAUGACUGUCUUAUGGAUUGUAAACUUCUUUUAUACGGGAAUAACAAGAGUCACGUGUGACUCCCUGAAUGUACCGUAUGAAUAAGCAUCGGCUAACUCCGUG